AAUCAGUCCACCCUAAUUUGAAUGACUGACUGGGUGGUAGCUGUAGGCAUGGGGGCGGUGUGGGAGGAGGAAGUGGAUCACGGGGGUGUGCCCUGGAAGGGUAUAUUUUCCCUUUGGUUUCUUGCCCCACACCAUUUCCUUGUUGCUAUGAGGGAAGCAGCUUCCCUACAUGAUAUGAUGCCCUUCUCUCGUGAUAUUCUGCCUUACCUUAGGCCAAAUGGACCUCAUGGACAUAUACAGAACUGUCCACCCAGCAGUAGUAGAAUAUGCAUUCUUCUCAAGCCCACAGGGAAACUUCUCCAGACAUAUCAUAGGUUAGUCCACAAAAGAAAUGCUAACAAUUACAAGAAGACUGAAGUUACAUCAAGAUCUUCCCUAACCACAGUGAUAUUAAACUAGGAACCAAUAACAAGAGGCAUUUCAGAAAAUUCACAAAUACAUGGAAAUUAAACAAUAUGUUCUUGAACAAUGAGUCUAGAAGAAAUUAAAAAGGAAAUCAAAAAGUAUCUUAAGAAAAAUGAAUAUGGACAUGUAAUAUACCAAAACUCAUGAGUACUUUGAGGCAAAGUUUAGGUAGAUUCAGUCAAGCUGGCUGAACAGAAGUGCCCAGUACUCACCUCCCUUUCCACAAAUAGGAACCCAAGUAAUAGGAAUACAGCUUCAUAGUGAGGUAAGUGACCAUGGAAGGAAACACUGGAAACUAAUCAGAGAGACUAGUCCCUUGUUAAGACUCAGAGAUCUGGGACAACACCAUAGUAAUAGAAAUAAAAUACUCCAAUAUCUUCCAACCUGGCUUCCUUUGCAGGGAUAAGGAUAAAAGAGUUGCAUCAAACUGU
Molecule: long non-coding RNA, 836 nt
Filed under: Marmota monax (woodchuck)
Lineage: Eukaryota; Metazoa; Chordata; Mammalia; Rodentia; Sciuridae
Source: RNAcentral